Molecule: non-coding RNA, 82 nt
Organism: Tulasnella sp. JGI-2019a
Lineage: Eukaryota; Fungi; Basidiomycota; Agaricomycetes; Cantharellales; Tulasnellaceae
Source: the annotation of a GenBank genome assembly
ACAUUGGUGGUGGAGUGGUUAUCAUUGUUGCUUCCCAUUAAUUGAUUAGCAAUAGUCCCGGGUUCGAAUCCCGGCCAAUGUA